Molecule: non-coding RNA, 551 nt
Organism: Pelobates cultripes (western spadefoot toad)
Lineage: Eukaryota; Metazoa; Chordata; Amphibia; Anura; Pelobatidae
Source: the annotation of a GenBank genome assembly
CUUGGUAGAUAUGGAUUGACACCUGUCCUCAGAAAACAUGAUACACACUGACACAGAGCAGAAUAGAGACUGUUCCCCCUACAUAGGGUCACUUGGCAGAUAUGGAUUGACACCUGUCCUCAGAGACCAUGAUACACACUGACACAGAGCAGAAUAGGGACAGAUAUGGAUUGACGCCUGUCCUCAGAGCCCCUGAUACACACUGACACAGAGUAGAAUAGAGACUGUUCUCCUACAUAGGAUCACUUGGCAGAUAUGGAUUGACACCUGUCCUAAGGAUCCCUGAUACACACCGACACAGAGCAGAAUAGGGACUGUUCCCCCUACAUAAGGUCACUUGGCAGAUAUGGAUUGACACCUAUCCUAACGAUCCCUGAUACACACUGACACAGAGCAGAAUACGGACUGUUCCCCCUACAUAGGGUCUCUUGGCAGAUAUGGAUUGACACCUGUCCUCAGAGAUCAUGUCAGUACACAGAGCAGAAUAGAGACUGUUUCCCCUAUAUAGGGUCACUUGGCAGAUAUGGAUUGACACCUGUCCUAAGGAUCCC